RNAcentral lists this ribosomal RNA (460 nucleotides) under uncultured bacterium. RNAcentral's name for it is "partial 16S ribosomal RNA". It matches the Rfam family "Bacterial small subunit ribosomal RNA", at positions 338 to 795 of the family's 1533-position model. The record is from RNAcentral.
CCUACGGGAGGCAGCAGUGAGGAAUAUUGGUCAAUGGGCGUAAGCCUGAACCAGCCAAGUCGCGUGAGGGAUGAAGGUUCUAUGGAUCGUAAACCUCUUUUAUAAGGGAAUAAAGUGUGGGACGUGUCCUGUUUUGUAUGUACCUUAUGAAUAAGGCUCGGCUAACUCCGUGCCAGCAGCCGCGGUAAUACGGAGGAUCCGAGCGUUAUCCGGAUUUAUUGGGUUUAAAGGGUGCGUAGGCGGCCUUGUAAGUCAGCGGUGAAAGUCUGUGGCUCAACCAUAGAAUUGCCGUUGAAACUGGGAGGCUUGAGUAUGUUUGAGGCAGGCGGAAUGCGUGGUGUAGCGGUGAAAUGCUUAGAUAUCACGCAGAACCCCGAUUGCGAAGGCAGCCUGCCAAGCCAUGACUGACGCUGAUGCACGAAAGCGUGGGGAUCAAACAGGAUUAGAUAUCCGUGUAGUC